CGGACCCUCCAGGGAACGCCCUUGAGUAACUCGCGCACUUGGGACCCCGUUUCCACCCAGGACCACAGGCUCAAGAUGGCCUGGUAGAUGCAGCCGGCACGCGCCUCUCCUCCGACGGGAACAGAAGGAGCCGGUAGGUUUUCACACUUGCAGCAGAUCCGCUAAGAGAACGAGGGAUUUAGCUGAGAAGCCACUGGGAGCCCGAGGAGUGGAGCAGAGGUACCCAGGCAGCCUGCGCGCAGAAAUCGGAUCGGCGGGGACGGCCUGCAGCCCCCGCUCGCGGGGAAAGGGACCAUAGGCUCAAGAUGGCCUGGUAGAUGCAGCCGGCACGCGCCUCUCCUCUGGCGGGAACCGAAGGCGCCGGUAGGUUUUCACACUUGCAGCCGAUCGGCUAAGAGAACGCGGGAUUCAGCCGAGAAGCCACUGGGAGCCCGAGGAGCGGAGCAGAGGCACCCAGGCAGCCUGCGCGGAGAAAUCGAAUCGGCUGGGACGGCCUGCAGCCCCUGCGCACGGGGAAAGGGAAGAAGUCCUCCCCUACAAAGCGAGUUCACAAACUUGGAAGAAGCCACUUUCACAGGAUGCACAGAUCUCAACGGAAGGACACAGAAAACAUGAAAAAGCAAGGAAAUGGGGCGCCUCCAAAGGAACCCAGUAAUUCUCCAGCAGCAGAUCCCCAUCCAAAAGAAACAGAAGAUAUUUUGGAGAGAGAAUUGAACAUACAUAUUAUACAGUUGAUGGGCAUAAUACAAGCAUCAUUUGGAAAAGAACAGAGAAAAAAGAUGGAAGGAGUUACCGUUCUGCAGGAAAAAAUUAUCAACUCCAGUGAUAUUAUUAAAUACAACCUAAUGACACUUCUGAAGCUGAAGAAAUCACUGGAUGAAAUACAAAGUAAACUCAAAAGCUUCAGUGAUAGACUAGAACAAGUAGAAGAAAGACUCUCAAAACUUGAAAUCUGAAGCAUGUUUCUUAAAGAUUUAAUGGGUUAUUAUACUCUGGCCAUUAAUGUCAACGAAAUCUGCUGGGUUAAUUCUUAACUGGGGUCUUGGAUAAUCAUUAAAAUGAAAUGAGAAUAAUUUCUUUUUGAGAUGA
Molecule: long non-coding RNA, 1089 nt
Organism: Pan troglodytes (chimpanzee)
Lineage: Eukaryota; Metazoa; Chordata; Mammalia; Primates; Hominidae
Exons: 3
Source: RefSeq, a predicted model, not a curated record